Molecule: microRNA precursor, 84 nt
Organism: Capra hircus (goat)
Lineage: Eukaryota; Metazoa; Chordata; Mammalia; Artiodactyla; Bovidae
Gene: MIR26A2
Product: microRNA 26a-2
Source: Ensembl
GGCUGUGGCUGGAUUCAAGUAAUCCAGGAUAGGCUGUUUCCAUCCGUGAGGCCUAUUCUUGAUUACUUGUUUCUGGAGGCAGCU